Molecule: ribosomal RNA, 486 nt
Filed under: uncultured bacterium
Lineage: Bacteria
Description: partial 16S ribosomal RNA
Rfam family: Bacterial small subunit ribosomal RNA
Source: RNAcentral
GAUGAACGCUGGCGGCGUGCCUAAUACAUGCAAGUCGAACGCUGGAAAUCUAGCUUGCUAGAUUGAAGGAGUGGCGAACGGGUGAGUAAUACAUAAGCAACCUACCCACGAAGACUGGGAUAAUCUCUGGAAACGGGGACUAAUACCGGAUAGGUAAUCGGAAGGCAUCUUCUGAUUAUUAAAGGUUAAAAACACUGGUGGAUGGGCUUAUGGGGCAUUAGUUAGUUGGUGAGGUAACGGCCCACCAAGACGAUGAUGCGUAGCCGGCCUGAGAGGGUGAACGGCCACAUGGUGACUGGGCCACGGCCCAGACUCCUACGGGAGGGAGCAGUAGGGGAGUUUCGGCAAGGGAAGAAACCCUGACCGAGCAACGCCGCGUGAGUGAUGACGGCGUUCGGGUUGUAGAGCUCUGUUGUAAGGGAAGAACGGUAGAUAGAGAAUAUCUAAAUGACGGUACCUUGCCAGAAAGCCACGGCUAACUACGUG